Pteronotus mesoamericanus is the source of this 127-nucleotide small nucleolar RNA. RefSeq annotates it as small nucleolar RNA SNORA40. The record is from RefSeq and is a predicted model, not a curated record. The transcript has a single exon. NCBI's taxonomy places the organism in Eukaryota, Metazoa, Chordata, Mammalia, Chiroptera, Mormoopidae.
AGCACUUGUGUUUGUUUUUGUUUAAGUUGUGGGCAAAGACUACAUACAGGUGUGAAUGAUAAAUCUUCUUUUGCAACCCAGAACUCAUUGUUCAGUAUGAGUUUAGAUACCUGUAAGAAGAAACAUG